UAACAUUUGAAUAGAUAAAGUGCCUUUUGCUACGGCUUAAGGAGAAUAGGGAAACAGGUGAGAAUCCUGUGCGGUAACGCCGCUGUAUCAAGAUUUCCAUCCAUCAUUUUAGCAAAUUCUUUGCUAAAAGCCACUGUUUUUACGGGAAGGUUUGGGUAGUUAACACUUGGAGUCAGAAGACCUGCUUUAUCUUACCAUCUAUU
RNAcentral lists this non-coding RNA (203 nucleotides) under Candidatus Rubidus. The record is from RNAcentral. Lineage: Bacteria; Pseudomonadati; Chlamydiota; Chlamydiia; Chlamydiales; Chlamydiaceae.